RNAcentral lists this long non-coding RNA (389 nucleotides) under Phoenix dactylifera (date palm). RNAcentral's name for it is "long non-coding RNA (PDAC_LNC015406)". The record is from RNAcentral. Lineage: Eukaryota; Viridiplantae; Streptophyta; Magnoliopsida; Arecales; Arecaceae.
ACAAUAUCAUUGAAAACUCUUUUCAAUGGGUUGGAACGAUUCCAACUCAACUCAUUAGGGUUUAUCGAUCAUCAAGAUAAUCCCUAUGAGUCCCACCAUCCACCAGUGAUACCUAGCAGCAUGUAGUGGCUACCCAGUAGAAUAGAAAGAUGAACCUCUAGGUACAGUUAACAUGUGAUACAGUCCUACUAUCGUGGAUCCCUACAGGACGGAGGUCACGGACAACUCGUCAAACCCCAUCGUCUGUCAUAUGUCAAGAUUUAUUCGACUUGAGUUCGAUAGUGGAAAACUCUUUUUUCACUUUAUAUUACUGCCCCGGCCAAGGUCUUAGAACUCAGUCUAACAAAUCACAUAGGAUCACUCCUCUUCUAUCAAGGUCGAUAGAUUCC